CGGGACGGGUGAGUAAUGUCUGGGAAACUGCCGAGUGGAGGGGGAUAACUACUGGAAACGGUAGCUAAUACCGCAUAACGUCGCAAGACCAAAAGAGGGGGACCUUGGGCCUCUUGCCAUCGGAUGUGCCCAGAUGGGAUUAGCUAGUAGGUGGGGUAAUGGCUCACCUAGGCGACGAUCCCUAGCUGGUCUGAGAGGAUGAUCAGCCACACUGGGACUGAGACACGGCCCAG
RNAcentral lists this ribosomal RNA (233 nucleotides) under uncultured bacterium. RNAcentral's name for it is "partial 16S ribosomal RNA". It matches the Rfam family "Bacterial small subunit ribosomal RNA", at positions 100 to 334 of the family's 1533-position model. The record is from RNAcentral.